This 463-nucleotide ribosomal RNA is filed under the name uncultured bacterium. RNAcentral describes it as "bacterial SSU rRNA". It matches the Rfam family "Bacterial small subunit ribosomal RNA", at positions 335 to 799 of the family's 1533-position model. The record is from RNAcentral.
ACUCCUACGGGAGGCAGCAGUAAGGAAUAUUGGACAAUGGACGCAAGUCUGAUCCAGCCAUCCCGCGUGCAGGAAUAAUGCCCUAUGGGUUGUAAACUGCUUUAGCUAGGGAAUAAAGGUCGUUAUUAUAAUGAUUGAGUACCUAGAGAAUAAGCACCGGCUAACUCCGUGCCAGCAGCCGCGGUAAUACGGAGGGUGCAAGCGUUAUCCGGAUUUACUGGGUUUAAAGGGUGCGUAGGCGGAUGAUUAAGUUAGAUGUGAAAGCUUGCAGCUCAACUGUAAGAUUGCGUUUGAUACUGAUCAUCUUGAAUAUGGUAGAAGUUGGCGGAAUAAAUCAUGUAGCGGUGAAAUGCAUAGAUAUGAUUUAGAACACCGAUUGCGAAGGCAGCUAGCUAUACCAUGAUUGACGCUGAGGCACGAAAGCGUGGGGAUCAAACAGGAUUAGAUACCCUGGUAGGUCAGU